RNAcentral lists this ribosomal RNA (3377 nucleotides) under Rotylenchulus reniformis. RNAcentral describes it as "eukaryotic LSU rRNA". The stretch from base 91 to 2831 matches the Rfam family "Eukaryotic large subunit ribosomal RNA". Lineage: Eukaryota; Metazoa; Nematoda; Chromadorea; Rhabditida; Hoplolaimidae. The record is from RNAcentral.
UCAUCGCGGUGGCCCGGAGCAACAUAGUCCCGUCCCGACCGCAUGCGGUGGGGCGGAGACAGAGCGUACGCGCUGAGACCCGAAAGAUGGUGAACUAUUCCUGAGCAGGACGAAGCCAGAGGAAACUCUGGUGGAAGUCCGAAGCGAUUCUGACGUGCAAAUCGAUCGUCUGACUUGGGUAUAGGGGCGAAAGACUAAUCGAACCAUCUAGUAGCUGGUUCCCUCCGAANGGCCUGUCCAACGGGUGGUCGCCAGCUCACCUUUGCGUGUCUUUGAGUCGGGUUGUUUGGGAUCGCAGCCCAAAGCAGGUGGUAAACUUCAUCUAAGACUGAAUAUGACCACGAGUCCGAUAGCGAACAAGUACUGUGAAGGAAAGUUGCAAAGCACUUUGAAGAGAGAGUUAAAAAGGACGUGAAACCGAUGAGGUGGAAACGGACAGAGCCGGCGUAUCUGGCCUGUAUUCAGCCAUGGGUCUCUGGCGCCAGGCGGUCGCUCUCCAGAUUGGGACGACUGUCUGGCUGCUCGGGUGUCUGUGGUGCAUUUGCAGGUGGAGUGCGCUGAGGCGGUCGGGGCAGCGGCAUGAGCUCGGUUUUGAGGCCAGCCCUUCGGGGUCUGGUACCCGAACAGGGGGAGUGCUGUUUGGCCUGGCCGGCAGGGGGAAUGGUUUCGGGCUCGAUUGGGUGCCGAGCUGGCAGUCGGUGGCGGUCGCAUGCGACACGUGCCAGCGGUCAGUUCGGUCCUGGUCGAGCUCUCAAAGCUCCAUCCUCGGUGUAAAAGCUGGUCAUCUGUCCGACCCGUCUUGAAACACGGACCAAGGAGUUUAGCGUGUGCGCGAGUCAUUGGGCGUUGAAAACCCAAAGGCGCAAUGAAAGUGAAGGUCUCCCUUGCGGAGUUGAUGUGUGACCCGGGUCAUCGCGGUGGCCCGGAGCAACAUAGUCCCGUCCCGACCGCAUGCGGUGGGGCGGAGACAGAGCGUACGCGCUGAGACCCGAAAGAUGGUGAACUAUUCCUGAGCAGGACGAAGCCAGAGGAAACUCUGGUGGAAGUCCGAAGCGAUUCUGACGUGCAAAUCGAUCGUCUGACUUGGGUAUAGGGGCGAAAGACUAAUCGAACCAUCUAGUAGCUGGUUCCCUCCGAAGUUUCCCCCAGGAUAGCUGGAGCUCGCUUGAGCAGUUAUACUCGGUAAAGCGAAUGAUUAGAGGACUUGGGGACGAAAUGUCCUUAACCUAUUCUCAAACUCUAAAUGGGUAUGAAGCCGGGGUUGCUUGACUCUCUCUGUGAACCCAGGCGUUGAAUGCUGGAGCUCCAAGUGGGCCAUUUUUGGUAAGCAGAACUGGCGAUGUGGGAUGAACCAAACGCGGAGUUAAGGUGCCAAAGUGCCCGCUCAUUAGACCCCAUAAAAGGUGUUGGUUGAUAUAGACAGCAGGACGGUGGCCAUGGAAGUCGGAAUCCGCUAAGGAGUGUGUAACAACUCACCUGCCGAAUCAACUAGCCCUGAAAAUGGAUGGCGCUGGAGCGGGCCACCUAUACUUCGCCGUCAUUGGCUUGUACUGUCUCCACACAUGAGCAAGUCUGGCCAUGACGUGUAGGAGGGUCGUGGCGGUAGCGUUGAAGGCUUUGGGCGUGGGCCCAGCUGGAGCUGCCGCCAGUGCAGAUCUUGGUGGUAGUAGCAAAUAUUCAAGUGAGAUCCUUGAAGACUGAAGUGGAGAAGGGUUCCACGUGAACAGCAGUUGAAUGUGGGUCAGCCGAUCCUAAGGCACCGGCUAAGGCCGUCACACACUACGGAUGAAGAUCUGGUUGCGCUUGCGUUGCCGAUCCAUCCGGUUGCCGAAAGGGAAGUGGGUUAACAUUCCCACGCCAGGCCAGGGAGAUGACGGUUCGCAAGAGCCGUUUCGCGCGGUAACGCAAAUGAACUCGCAGACGUUGUGUGGAGUCCGAGCCAGAGUUCUCUUUUCUGGUUUAGGACGCGUGUCCCUGGAAUCGGUUCAGCCUGAGGUAGGGAUGUUGCGUCCGUAAAGCACCGCGGUUCCUGUGGUGUCUCGUGCGCCCCACACGACCCGUGAAAAUGCGAGGGAAGCGAUGUGAAUUUCCUGCCUGAUCGUACCGAUAUCCGCAGCAGGUCUCCAAGGUGAACAGCCUCUAGUCGAUAGAAUAAUGUAGGUAAGGGAAGUCGGCAAAUUAGAUUCGUAACUUCGGGAAAAGAAUUGGCUCUAAAGGUCGGGUCAGCCGGGCUGUUGUGUGAAACAGGCGGCCUUUGCCCGUGGCUGCGUGCUGGCUCGCAAGGGUUGGCGCGUGGACUAGUGGUGAGGGUUGCUUGUGGAGCGCUUCAGCUGCGUGUACGCUCGCAAGGGUGUGCACUUCGGUUGGCGCUGAACGACCAGUUUAGAACUGGCACGAACUCGGGGAAUCCGACUGUCUAAUUAAAACAGAGGAGACGGAUGGUCCUUGCGGACGUUGACCGUGUCUGAUUUCUGCCCAGUGCUCUGAAUGUUAAGCCAAGGAAACUUGAUUAAGCGCGGGUAAACGGCGGGAGUAACUAUGACUCUCUUAAGGUAGCCAAAUGCCUCGUCCUCCAAUUAGGGACGCGCACGAAUGGAUCAACGAGAUUCCCACUGUCCCUAUCUACUAUCUAGCGAAACNGCAAAAAGUAUCAAAAUUGAUCCUUCGCAAAAAAUAUCAAAAUGGAUUUAGAGUGAAAAAUUAAAGAUAUAAAUAACUUAAGCAAAUUAAAUAAAAAUAAGAAAAAUUUUUAAUUUUUUAAAUGAUAAAUUGAUUUAAUUAAUUUUUUUGGUGGAAAGAACAAAAAGUCGAUGAAAGAAGUUAAUUUUCGUCUCUUGAGAUAAAUUGAUUUAGGUCUUAAGAUGUAAAACUCGCCAAAAAUUGAUGAAGGAAUAAUCGGGCAAGUAAAUUAGAUAAGAAUCAAAAUAUAUUUCUCAGGCCCGUAGCCAGGAAAAAUUUUCGGGGGGGGGGUCACCAAGGGGAAGAGGGGUCGGGUGGGGUUUCCGGUGGCCCCGAUAGGGACCGCCGGAGAAAAUUUUGAAGAAUUUUGACGCUUUUUAAAGGAAAUCGGUUCAAAUUUUUCAAAAAAAUACUUAAAAAUAUUUUAACAGGAGGGCCCCUUUCAUUUUUUGGUCUUGGCGGGGGACAUGUUCCACCUGGCUACGGGUACGGGCCUGAUAUUUCCAUAUUAUAUAUAUUUUAUUUUAAAUCUAUUUUAGCUCUAAUUUUGCAAUCAAAAUCCAUUUUGAUACUUUUUGCGGAACGCCCUUUUUGAUACUUUUUGCGGAACGCCCUUUUUGAUAUUUUUUGCGGAAUGACUCAGCACGAAAAUGAUCAAAGUUUUUAAAAAAUUCUUUUAUUUUACACCAAAUUCCCGA